AGUGAACGCUGGCGGUAGGCCUAACACAUGCAAGUCGAACGGCAGCACAGUAAGAGCUUGCUCUUACGGGUGGCGAGUGGCGGACGGGUGAGGAAUACAUCGGAAUCUACUUUUUCGUGGGGGAUAACGUAGGGAAACUUACGCUAAUACCGCAUACGACCUACGGGUGAAAGCAGGGGAUCUUCGGACCUUGCGCGAUUGAAUGAGCCGAUGUCGGAUUAGCUAGUUGGCGGGGUAAUGGCCCACCAAGGCGACGAUCCGUAGCUGGUCUGAGAGGAUGAUAAGCCACACUGGAGCUGAGACACGAUCCAGAAACCUACGGGAGGCAGCAGUGGGGAAUAUUGGACACUGGGCGCAAGCCUGAUCCAGCCAUACCGCGUGGGUGAAGAAGGCCUUCGGGUUGUAAAGCCCUUUUGUUGGGAAAGAAAAGCAGCAGGUUAAUACCCCGCUGUUCUGACGGUACCCAAAGAAUAAGCACCGGCUAACUUCGU
RNAcentral lists this ribosomal RNA (491 nucleotides) under uncultured bacterium. Its description in RNAcentral is "partial 16S ribosomal RNA". It matches the Rfam family "Bacterial small subunit ribosomal RNA", at positions 29 to 506 of the family's 1533-position model. The record is from RNAcentral.